Molecule: ribosomal RNA, 495 nt
Filed under: uncultured bacterium
Lineage: Bacteria
Description: partial 16S ribosomal RNA
Rfam family: Bacterial small subunit ribosomal RNA
Source: RNAcentral
GAUGAACGCUAGCGGCAGGCCUAAUACAUGCAAGUCGAGGGGUAGAAGAGGCUUGCUUCUUUGAGACCGGCGCACGGGUGCGUAACGCGUAUGCAACCUACCCUCAUCUGGGGGAUAGCCCGGAGAAAUCCGGAUUAAUACCGCAUAAAAUCACAGGAUGGCAUUAUCCAAUGAUCAAACAUUUAUGGGAUGGAGAUGGGCAUGCGUGUCAUUAGCUAGUUGGCGGGGUAACGGCCCACCAAGGCGACGAUGACUAGGGGAUCUGAGAGGAUGGCCCCCACACUGGUACUGAGACACGGACCAGACUCCUACGGGAGGCAGCAGUAAGGAAUAUUGGUCAAUGGAGGCAACUCUGAACCAGCCAUGCCGCGUGCAGGAAGACUGCCCUAUGGGUUGUAAACUGCUUUUAUUCGGGAAUAAACCUUAUUACGUGUAGUAAGCUGAAUGUACCGAAGGAAUAAGGAUCGGCUAACUCCGUGCCAGCCGCCGCCGUAA